Thermanaeromonas toyohensis ToBE is the source of this 87-nucleotide regulatory RNA element. It matches the Rfam family "c-di-GMP-I riboswitch aptamer". Rfam says of the family: GEMM was predicted in a large-scale screen for bacterial structured RNA regulatory elements. Genes associated with GEMM are involved in a diverse array of functions, including chemotaxis regulation, signal transduction, secretion and chitin. The record is from Rfam. NCBI's taxonomy places the organism in Bacteria, Bacillati, Bacillota, Clostridia, Neomoorellales, Neomoorellaceae.
CUCUGUUAAGGGCAAACCCGCCGAAAGGCGGGGGCGCAAAGCCACGGGCCUAAGGCUUUUAAGGGCUAUGGCAGCCGGGUUGCCGGU